AUCAUAUUUCAUCUUUCAUCAACCAAUUUCAUCUCUAGUUGAUAAAACAGACUAGAAGAUGUUAAAGAACACCAGAUAGUGCUUUAUUCAUUCUGGAAACUCAAUGCCAACUGGAACAUCAGCUUCCAUUUAUCCUCCAGAAAACGUGCUGCUGGCCUUUUAUCAGACAACAGUAGUAACAACAUAAUCAUGUUGUAAAUGGGACUAAACACUCUUUCUUUUAAUAAAUAACAAGUGAAAUCCUCUUAAAUUGUUGAA
RNAcentral lists this long non-coding RNA (258 nucleotides) under Cyanistes caeruleus (blue tit). RNAcentral's name for it is "lncRNA (ENSCCEG00000015978.1)". The record is from RNAcentral. Lineage: Eukaryota; Metazoa; Chordata; Aves; Passeriformes; Paridae.